AUGUACCACGCGUACACUCCGGUUCCUGCGCGCCGUCCGCACCCAGCUGACGACUACUGGCUACGUUUUGUUAGCC
RNAcentral lists this small RNA (76 nucleotides) under Xanthomonas fragariae. RNAcentral's name for it is "sX9 sRNA". It matches the Rfam family "Xanthomonas sRNA sX9". The record is from RNAcentral. Lineage: Bacteria; Pseudomonadati; Pseudomonadota; Gammaproteobacteria; Lysobacterales; Lysobacteraceae.